AACGUAGGGGACAAGCGUUAUCCGGAUUUACUGGGCGUAAAGCGCCCGUAGGCGGCAAGCCAAGUUGGCUGUGAAAGCUCCCGGCUUAACUGGGAGAGGUCAGUCAAAACUGGUUAGCUAGAGGCUGAGAUAGGCGAGCGGAAUUCCCGGUGUAGUGGUGGAAUGCGUAGAGAUCGGGAGGAACACCAGUGGCGAAAGCGGCUCGCUGGUUCAGCCCUGACGCUGAGGGGCGAAAGCGUGGGGAGCGAACGGG
RNAcentral lists this ribosomal RNA (253 nucleotides) under uncultured bacterium. RNAcentral's name for it is "partial 16S ribosomal RNA". It matches the Rfam family "Bacterial small subunit ribosomal RNA", at positions 524 to 776 of the family's 1533-position model. The record is from RNAcentral.